AAAGCGUGCGCAGGCGGUUUUGUAAGUCUGUCGUGAAAGCCCCGGGCUUAACCUGGGAAUUGCGAUGGAGACUGCAAGGCUUGAAUCUGGCAGAGGGGGGUAGAAUUCCACGUGUAGCAGUGAAAUGCGUAGAGAUGUGGAGGAACACCGAUGGCGAAGGCAGCCCCCUGGGUCAAGAUUGACGCUCAUGCACGAAAGCGUGGGGAGCAAACAGGAUUAGAUACCCGAGU
RNAcentral lists this ribosomal RNA (230 nucleotides) under uncultured bacterium. Its description in RNAcentral is "partial 16S ribosomal RNA". It matches the Rfam family "Bacterial small subunit ribosomal RNA", at positions 562 to 791 of the family's 1533-position model. The record is from RNAcentral.